UACUGUUUGUACCAGUGGUCUUCACCUGC
This 29-nucleotide small RNA is filed under the name Bombyx mori (domestic silkworm). Its description in RNAcentral is "ovarian small RNA-6207". The record is from RNAcentral. Lineage: Eukaryota; Metazoa; Arthropoda; Insecta; Lepidoptera; Bombycidae.